RNAcentral lists this non-coding RNA (46 nucleotides) under Trichobilharzia regenti. The record is from RNAcentral. Lineage: Eukaryota; Metazoa; Platyhelminthes; Trematoda; Strigeidida; Schistosomatidae.
AUACUUCUGAAGAGUCCUAGACAGGGACGAAAUGACUAUCCAGUAU